UACGUAGGGGGCAAGCGUUGUCCGGAUUUAUUGGGCGUAAAGAGCGUGUAGGCGGCUUGACAAGUCUGCUGUGAAAACUCGAGGCUCAACCUCGAGCUGUCGGUGGAAACUGUCUAGCUAGAGUCCGGAAGAGGAGAGUGGAAUUCCUGGUGUAGCGGUGAAAUGCGCAGAUAUCAGGAAGAACACCUAUGGCGAAGGCAGCUCUCUGGGACGGUACUGACGCUGAGACGCGAAAGCGUGGGGAGCGAACAGG
RNAcentral lists this ribosomal RNA (253 nucleotides) under uncultured bacterium. Its description in RNAcentral is "partial 16S ribosomal RNA". It matches the Rfam family "Bacterial small subunit ribosomal RNA", at positions 524 to 776 of the family's 1533-position model. The record is from RNAcentral.